CAUGUCAACAUGUUAUCAAUAUAAAAAAAAUUAUGGAAGAUACACUUUAGAUUUUUUUCAUGAUAAGUCUUCAAAAUCUUGGGUUUUUUUACAGCUACAGCACAACCCAGUUUGAAGCCGCCACAUCUCAACUUCAGUAGCAAUGUGUGUCUCGUGGCAGUCAUCAUAGACAGCUCAGCUGUAAGCAGUAAACUCCCUGAGGGCUCAGAACCACAACAGCCUUACUGCUCUAUCCACAGCACCAGACUGUGCUUAACUCAAAGUAAGCCAAGUAUUUGAUAUUUUUUAAAAAAAUACAAUUUUAAGGAAUAAUUGUACGGAAGAAGAAAGGGAAGCCCAGAGAGAGGAAGGGAUUGACUCCACGGUCAUAGCACUAAUUAAUGGGAAACCACUACCAGCCCUCAUCUGGAGCUAUACACCCCAGCACCUCCUGGAAACUGGCGGCAUCACUCAGGCCAGUCUUCCCCACUGGAACUAUGAGAUUGAAAUGGGCCAGGAAUGACAGUUUACAUUUUCUAAAAGAAGAAAAGCAAAUUUGUAAGAGGAGAUGUGACUUGUCCAAGUUCCAGACUUCACAUCCGCCGGAGUCUUCCACACCAGCACCUCCUAAGGAUCAACCCAUUUGAGCUACGUAAGUAAUUUAUGUGCCUGUUUAUCUUCAGGUGCUCUCUCUUGUUGGCAAGUGAGGUAUUCUUGUAGAAAUCUUAUGUGUGCACACAUGCAAAGGGGCAUAAAUACAUAUGAAGGCUGAUAUUUCUGAUCAUUCAAGCAUCCGUUAUCCUCUGACUCAAAUGUGUAUUAAUUCUUUGCUCGUGGUGGCUGCCCUGGUGGCUCAGAUGGUAAAGAACCCGUCUACAAUGCAGGAGAUCCAGGUUUGAUCCCUAGGUGAGGAACAUCCCCUAGAGAAGGGACUGGCUACCCAAUCCAGUAUUCUUUCCUGGAGAAUUCCAUGGACAGAGGAGCCUGGCAAGCUACAGUCCACGGGG
RNAcentral lists this long non-coding RNA (986 nucleotides) under Capra hircus (goat). Its description in RNAcentral is "lncRNA (ENSCHIG00010017667.1)". The record is from RNAcentral. Lineage: Eukaryota; Metazoa; Chordata; Mammalia; Artiodactyla; Bovidae.